UAGGGAAUAUUGCGCAAUGGCCGCAAGGCUGACGCAGCGACGCCGCGUGUGGGAGGGAGCCCUUCGGGGUGUAAACCACUGUCAGGGGGGAAGAACUUCGUGGAUGUGAACAGCUUUCACGGUUGACGGUACCCCCAGAGGAAGCGCCGGCUAACUCCGUGCCAGCAGCCGCGGUAAGACGGAGGGCGCAAGCGUUGUUCGGAAUCACUGGGCGUAAAGCGCUCGCAGGCGGUGCCUUAAGUCCGCCGUGAAACUCCGGAGCUCAACUCCGGACUUGCGACGGAUACUGGGGGACUGGAGACUGGUAGAGGCUAGCGGAAUUCUUGGUGUAGCGGUGGAAUGCGUAGAUAUCAGGAAGAACACCGGUGGCGAAGGCGGCUAGCUGGGCCGGUUCUGACGCUCAUGAGCGAAAGCGUGGGGAGCAAACAGGAUUAGAUACCCCCGUAGUCC
Molecule: ribosomal RNA, 450 nt
Filed under: uncultured prokaryote
Description: bacterial SSU rRNA
Rfam family: Bacterial small subunit ribosomal RNA
Source: RNAcentral